CUCAUCUUGCUGUGUGUUCUGUCCGUUUGCCAGUAUCUUUGAUGCUGAAACUAACAGAGCAAAAACUGCGUUCUGAUCUUCGCUGAGAUCAACCUCAUGGCCUCAUCAAUGUUCUGUACAGAUGUGUCUUUGUCACGGAGUCAGGGCAGAUCAUGUUUGAGAAACAGGGAGAGCGAGUUUCCUCUCCGCUCACCUUCAGAGGGUAGGAGGACUUUGGUGUGAUGUCUGGAUUACAGCAACACGUACCAGGAUGUCUGGUGGAGGACUGCCUGAUGUCAUUCAUGUCUUUGGCGUCCGCUGGACUCCGAGCAGGUCUGGACCGCAUGCUGGAGGAUGGACUAACGAUCCCACCAGGACAGGAGGAGGUGUCACUGCUGAACAGCUCUGCUGUGUGGGACGAGCAGCUGGACGAGGGCAACUCGAGGUUCCCUACAAUCCCCAAAGUAUUUUAGCACAUCUGGAGAUGCUCCUGGUGGACACAGGUGGGUCGAGUAUCCAAAAAUUGUACUCAAGUAAG
Molecule: long non-coding RNA, 517 nt
Organism: Oreochromis aureus
Lineage: Eukaryota; Metazoa; Chordata; Actinopteri; Cichliformes; Cichlidae
Source: Ensembl